UACGUAGGCAGCAAGCGUUGUUCGGAAUUACUGGGCGUAAAGAGUGUGUAGGCGGUGCUCCAAGUCUGGUGUGAAAUCUCCCGGCUUAACUGGGAGGGUGCAUUAGAAACUGGAAUGCUAGAGGAUGGGAGAGGUAAGCGGAAUUCCUGGUGUAGCGGUGAAAUGCGCAGAUAUCAGGAGGAACACCGGUGGCGAAGGCGGUGGGCUGGGCCGGCACUGACGCUGAGGAGCGAAAGCGUGGGGAGCGAACAGG
Molecule: ribosomal RNA, 253 nt
Filed under: uncultured bacterium
Lineage: Bacteria
Description: partial 16S ribosomal RNA
Rfam family: Bacterial small subunit ribosomal RNA
Source: RNAcentral